This 253-nucleotide ribosomal RNA is filed under the name uncultured bacterium. Its description in RNAcentral is "partial 16S ribosomal RNA". It matches the Rfam family "Bacterial small subunit ribosomal RNA", at positions 524 to 776 of the family's 1533-position model. The record is from RNAcentral.
UACGUAGGUGUCAAGCGUUGUCCGGAUUUAUUGGGCGUAAAGCGCCCGCAGGCGGCUUGCCAAGUUCGAUGUGAAAUCUCCCGGCUCAACUGGGAGGGUGCAUCGAAAACUGGCAGGCUUGAGGCAGGGAGAGGGAUGUGGAAUUCCAGGUGUAGUGGUGAAAUGCGUAGAUAUCAGGAGGAACACCGGUGGCGAAGGCGGGUCUCUGGGCCGGUACUGACGCUGAGGAGCGAAAGCGUGGGGAGCGAACAGG